ACGGGGAGCAGCAGGCGCGAAACCUUUACACUGCACGCCAGUGCGAUAAGGGGACCCCGAGUGCGAGGGCAUACAGUCCUCGCUUUUCGUGACCGUAAGGUGGUCACAGAAUAAGUGCUGGGCAAGACCGGUGCCAGCCGCCGCGGUAAUACCGGCAGCACGAGUGAUAGCCACUAUUAUUGGGCCUAAAGCGUCCGUAGCCGGCUACACAGGUCCGUCGGGAAAUCCACCCGCUCAACGGGUGGGCGUCCGGCGGAAACCAGGUAGCUUGGGGCCGAGAGACCAGAGGGGUACGUCCGGGGUAGGAGUGAAAUCCCGUAAUCCUGGACGGACCACCGGUUGCGAAAGCGCCUCUGGAGAACGGACCCGACGGUGAGGGACGAAAGCUUGGGUCUCGAACCGGAUUAGAUACCCGGGUAGUCCAAGCUGUAAACGAUGCUCGCUAGGUGUGGCACUGGCUACGAGCCAGUGCUGUGCCGUAGGGAAGCCGAGAAGCGAGCCGCCUGGGAAGUACGUCCGCAAGGAUGAAACUUAAAGGAAUUGGCGGGGGAGCAC
Molecule: ribosomal RNA, 555 nt
Filed under: uncultured archaeon
Lineage: Archaea
Description: bacterial SSU rRNA
Rfam family: Archaeal small subunit ribosomal RNA
Source: RNAcentral